Triticum dicoccoides is the source of this 2075-nucleotide RNA transcript. RefSeq lists it as uncharacterized. The transcript has 4 exons. The record is from RefSeq and is a predicted model, not a curated record. Lineage: Eukaryota; Viridiplantae; Streptophyta; Magnoliopsida; Poales; Poaceae.
CCGUUCCCCAUUCUCCCAUGGUGGCCACACCCUCACUCCACAGUCGGCGCCGGCGCUCCCUGGUCUGGCCGCUACUCACCUUCGUCACCACCGUCGGUGCUUCCUGGUCAGACCGCGGCUCCCCUUCGCAGUCGCUGCUCUUCCUCCCCUUCAUGUCGAAUCGCUCGCGGGGCCGAGGAGGCCCUCGAGCUCGGCAUGCUCGCGCCAGCGAUAGGCGCCGCCGGAGGUGGACGCGGAGGUGUGGCACUCGCUCGCUCCUGCUCUACCCUGCACCUUCUCCGAAUCCGUUCGCCGAAGUGCUCGAGAAGGCGUUCGAGGUCAGCAUGCUAGCCGACGACGCCGGGCCCCUCCCUCCUCCGGAUGCCCUCGCCGUCGCCGCCAUGAGCCUCUCCACCCUCUCUUGUGAGGUCGUCCGGGUCCAGAUUGCUACACCUUCUGGUUGUGAGUGGAUCCAAGAGUUAACUUGAUACAUUAUCCUUUCAAAAGAUGAUAGAUUAUCUUCAUGAAAGAAAGGAAGUUGGAAAAUUAUUAUUGAAGAGGAAUUCAGUGUCAUGGGUUUCUCAAGAGCUAAAAUGGAACAAGAAGUGCAAAACUGGCAAUUCUUUUUGUAAUACUAUUAAGCUCGUCAUGGUGGUUACCAUGAAUGAGUGUCUGGUUUAAUCUUUAGAAAAUUUCCCGAGGGAGGAGAAGGAGGUGCCGACAGGGGAUGGGAGCAACAAGUAUAAUUCAAAGAAUCCCCUUAUUGGACCACAUUCAGUUGUGGGCCCUGCUGUUUGACAUCCAUGGUGAUGCUGAUGAUGAUCUUGGCAAGGGUAAUGCUUUGAUUUCAUAGACAUGUUGCUUUGAUAGCUAGAGAACUAAUUCUCAAGAGGACUUUGUGAUUUAGUGUUCGUAUGAUAUUUUUUAGUUGGGGCUGUUUUUUUCAUGGAUUUUCUCUGUCCACUACAUCAUGAAUCUGGUAAUAUAAAAGUAAUAUCUAUUUCUGAUUAUGUAAUGACCGACUGUUAUCUUGCUUCUUACUCAUGUAUCUUCAGAUUUUAUGUAUUUGCCUGGGGUCUUGGUAUGUCCUUGAGCACGCAUGAGGUAUGUAUGUAUCUGUUGGUAUCUUAGUGCGCUUUGUUGUUUCAGAGUAGCACUCUAUAAUUUGGCACAUGCCUAUGCGUGUAUAUGCACGUACACCAUAGGUCCGAGCUGAAACUAAUUAUGAUUAAUUUUAUCGUUCUGUGAUGUGCGCUCAUUAAUACCAUUGGCACCUUUGUAAAUUCUAUAAGCUAAAUCCAAUAUUUCAGGUGUUCUGCGAGAACUCAAGUCACCUUCGUAAGUUCUAAAAGCCAAAGAGAUAGGGUGCAUGAUUCAGUUAGUUACAAAAUUGCAGCAGCCAAAACACUAACCAUGUUCCACAUAGAAAACCAUUAAUUACAGAUAUAAAACGAACGGCUUAUAGCAUUGUGCUGUGCAACUGUUUGUUUUUUAGAACUCUAUUUUGAAAAUUCUAAUCCUGUAUAAUGCUGCAACAGGUCAAACGAAGAAGUUGAACCUAAAGAAGGGCAGGGAAGAAUUACAGCUUCGUGUGGCCGGCUGGUUCAGGGGACGUGCAGGGCGGGCGCGGCACCGGGUGCCGGGGUAGGCUCCUGGGCACUGGCUAUCUCGCGGACGGGCCACACGGCGAGGGCAGGGUCGUGGGCGCCCGCUAUCUCGCUGAUGGAUUACACACUGUGAGCGGCAACAAUCGGCGGUGGCGAUUGUGCAGGGAGCGACUGAGCGGCGCAGGGCUCACGAGGUAUCGGUGCAGGCAGGAGACGGGGUUGGUGGGAGGCAUCGAGGUCAAGUCCGAGGGGAGCUGAUUUAGUUGAGUUUCCGUAUUAGUUUGCGAUCACAAUUGCGUGAUUGCAGGGGAUGCGGGCUGGUAGUUGGAAUAUUCCUUCGGUGAUGGAGUUUGGUCAGUCAUGAGAAUUUGCUAAGUGCACACCGUGGAGGCAUUAGAUCAAUAAUGACUGUUGGAUUGAGAUUUGUGGGACUAAUUGUAUGGUGCUGAUUGGUUCGUAUGUUUUAUGGAACUAAUUGCUAGGUGUACA